RNAcentral lists this small nuclear RNA (320 nucleotides) under Saimiri boliviensis boliviensis (Bolivian squirrel monkey). RNAcentral describes it as "7SK RNA (ENSSBOG00000000794.1)". It matches the Rfam family "7SK RNA". Rfam says of the family: 7SK was discovered as an abundant small nuclear RNA in the mid-70s but a possible function has only recently been suggested. Two independent studies have found that 7SK RNA binds the CDK9/cyclin T complex (known as elongation factor P-TEFb). The record is from Rfam by way of RNAcentral. Lineage: Eukaryota; Metazoa; Chordata; Mammalia; Primates; Cebidae.
GGAAGUGAAGGCGAUCUGGCUGUGACAUACGUCACCCCAUGGAUCACCAGUGUUGAUUUGGCUGAUCUGGCUGGCGAGGCGGGUGUCCCCUUCCUCCCUCACUGCUCCAUGUGUGUCCCUCCCGAAGCUGCGUGCUUUGUCAAGGAGGACGACCAUCUCCGACAGAGGAGGACCGGUCUUUGGUCAAGGGUGAAUGAGUAGCUGCGCUCCCCUGCCGGAACCUCCAAACCUCUCAAGAAUUAGAGUAAAAGCAGUAAGUCCAUUAACACGAACUUAAAGAAAAAUAUAAAAUACGGGCAUGUGGUCUCAGGGUCUUCUGU